RNAcentral lists this ribosomal RNA (537 nucleotides) under uncultured bacterium. RNAcentral's name for it is "bacterial SSU rRNA". It matches the Rfam family "Bacterial small subunit ribosomal RNA", at positions 777 to 1314 of the family's 1533-position model. The record is from RNAcentral.
AAUAGAUACCCCGGUAGUCCACGCCGUAAACGAUGAGUGCUAGGUGUCGGGGGGGUUCUACCCUCGGUGCCGAAGGUAACCCAUUAAGCACUCCGCCUGGGGAGUACGGCCGCAAGGCUGAAACUCAAAGGAAUUGACGGGGGCCCGCACAAGCGGUGGAGCAUGUGGUUUAAUUCGAAGCAACGCGAAGAACCUUACCAGGGCUUGACAUCCCGCUGACCGCUCCAGAGAUGGAGCUUCCCUUCGGGGGCAGCGGUGACAGGUGGUGCAUGGUUGUCGUCAGCUCGUGUCGUGAGAUGUUGGGUUCAGUCCCGCAACGAGCGCAACCCUUAUCGCUAGUUGCCAGCAUUCAGUUGGGCACUCUAGCGAGACAGCCGGUGAAAGCCGGAGGAAGUGGGGAUGACGUCAAAUCAUCAUGCCCCUUAUGUCCUGGGCUACGACACGUGCUACAAUGGCCGGUACCAUGGGUCGCCAACCCGCGAGGGGGAGCUAAUCCCACGAAAACCGGUCUCAGUUCGGAUCGCAGGCUGCAACUCG